ACGGACCAAGGAGUCUAACACGUGCGCGAGUCGGAGGGCCCAGCGAAACCCUGUGGCGCAAUGAAGGUGAGGGCCGGCGCGCGCCGGCUGAGGUGGGAUCCCGCGAACCCAGCGGCGGGCGCACCACCGGCCCGUCUCGCCCGCUCUGUCGGGGAGGUGGAGCAUGAGCGCGCGUGAGAGGA
RNAcentral lists this ribosomal RNA (182 nucleotides) under Pleurodeles waltl (Iberian ribbed newt). Its description in RNAcentral is "partial ribosomal RNA". The record is from RNAcentral. Lineage: Eukaryota; Metazoa; Chordata; Amphibia; Caudata; Salamandridae.